Molecule: non-coding RNA, 32 nt
Filed under: Mus musculus (house mouse)
Lineage: Eukaryota; Metazoa; Chordata; Mammalia; Rodentia; Muridae
Source: RNAcentral
UGGCAGAGGCAAAGAUGAGUCAAAACACUUUU